UUGAACGCUGGCGGCAUGCCUUACACAUGCAAGUCGAACGGCAGCACGGGAGCUUGCUCCUGGUGGCGAGUGGCGAACGGGUGAGUAAUAUAUCGGAACGUACCCUAGAGUGGGGGAUAACGCAGCGAAAGUUGCGCUAAUACCGCAUACGAUCUAUGGAUGAAAGCGGGGGAUCGCAAGACCUCGCGCGAUUGGAGCGGCCGAUAUCAGAUUAGGUAGUUGGUGAGGUAAAGGCUCACCAAGCCGACGAUCUGUAGCUGGUCUGAGAGGACGACCAGCCACACUGGGACUGAGACACGGCCCAGACUCCUACGGGAGGCAGCAGUGGGGAAUUUUGGACAAUGGGCGCAAGCCUGAUCCAGCAAUGCCGCGUGCAGGAUGAAGGCCUUCGGGUUGUAAACUGCUUUUGUACGGAACGAAACGGUGAGCUCUAAUACAGUUUGCUAAUGACGGUACCGUAAGAAUAAGCACCGGCUAACUACGUG
Molecule: ribosomal RNA, 485 nt
Filed under: uncultured bacterium
Lineage: Bacteria
Description: bacterial SSU rRNA
Rfam family: Bacterial small subunit ribosomal RNA
Source: RNAcentral